UAGGGAAUCUUCCGCAAUGGGCGAAAGCCUGACGGAGCAACGCCGCGUGAGUGAUGAAGGUCUUCGGAUCGUAAAACUCUGUUAUCAGGGAAGAACAAAUGUGUAAGUAAAUAUGCACGUCUUGACGGUACCUAAUCAGAAAGCCACGGCUAACUACGUGCCAGCAGCCGCGGCAAUACGUAGGUGGCAAGCGUUAUCCGGAAUUAUUGGGCGUAAAGCGCGCGUAGGCGGUUUUUUAAGUCUGAUGUGAAAGCCCACGGCUCAACCGUGGAGGGUCAUUGGAAACUGGAAAACUUGAGUGCAGAAGAGGAAAGUGGAAUUCCAUGUGUAGCGGUGAAAUGCGCAGAGAUAUGGGGGAACACCAGUGGCGAAGGCGACUGUCUGGUCUGUAACUGACGCUGAUGUGCGAAAGCGUGGGGAUCAAACAGG
RNAcentral lists this ribosomal RNA (429 nucleotides) under Actinomycetes bacterium. RNAcentral describes it as "Actinobacteria bacterium partial 16S ribosomal RNA". It matches the Rfam family "Bacterial small subunit ribosomal RNA", at positions 355 to 776 of the family's 1533-position model. The record is from RNAcentral. Lineage: Bacteria; Bacillati; Actinomycetota; Actinomycetes.